UGGUCAUUCUCUGGACGAUGUUCUUGCAUUUAAAAGCCAAGUACUGUGGCUGUUAUUUAAUAUUAUGACACUGUUGAAGUGUAAGAGGACAGAAUAUCAAGAAAAUCAGAUAUUAUUUCUCAGAGUGGACGGCAAGUGGCAGCCAGAGAAUGGCUCAAAUGUUGGGGCUUCUCUCGACGGCUGCUUUGCCUUUACGGAUCGCAGUAAAACCUUGUGUGCGCAGUUCAGUGGUGUCGGCAAAGAAUGUAUCUGUGCUGCCCGUCUACCGUGGCUGUUCUGUCAGGGGAGACAUCCCAUGGGAUGAGAAGGAGUUCCGCGCCCUGGCAAUGUUAGUAACUGGGAUAUCAUCUGCCGCACUCUACAAUCAGUUCAGUGACACAGCCAAGGAGAUCACCUGGAAGGACUUUGUCCAUCAUUACCUUGGCAGAGGAAUGGUUGACCGUUUAGUGGUUGUCUACAAACAGUAUGUGAGAGUCAUUCCAUUACCAGGAGCUGAUGAGAGCCAUGUGUGGUUUAACACUGGUAGGGUUAGUGGUAGGACACUGGUGGUAAGACACCUUCGAGAGGAACUGGGAGGCGGCUCAAGAUGACCUGGGCGUGGAGUCCUCUCACAGGGCAGCUGUUGUGUACAGCUCAAAACGUGACUGGACAUUAUUGAUGCACGUGAUCCCCACCCUGGGGCUGAUUGGUUUCCUGCUCUUCUCCCUGCGACGGAGACCAAUGGGAGGUGGUGAUUGGAUCGCCUUCACCCCAUUCAGCAUAAGGGAAUCACCAGCUAAGAUGAUGGACAACAUAAACACCAAGUUCAAGGAUGUUGCCGGCUGUGAGGAGGCCAAGCUGGAGAUCCUGGAGUUUGUUAACUUCCUGAAGAACCCCCACCAGUACCUGAUCCUGGGGGCCAAGAUCCCAAAGGGUGCUGUGCGCUCUGGACCUCCAGGCACAGGCAAGACCCUGCUGGCCAAAGCCACAGCAGGAGAAGUCAACGUCCCCUUCACCACAGUCAAUGGCUCUGAGUUCCUGGAGAUGUUUGUGGGUGUCUGCUGGAGAUGUUUGUGGGUGUUGGGCCUGCCAGGGUGAGAGACAUGUUUACCUUGGCCCGGAAGAACGCCCCUUGUAUCCUGUUCAUAGAUGAGAUAGACGCGGUGGGCCGCAAGAGGGGCGGGGGAGAUUUUGGGGGCCAGAGUGAGCAGGAGAUCACUCUCAACCAGCUGCUAGUGGAGAUGGAUGGGUUCGAUACCAGCACUAACGUGGUUGUCCUGGCGGGUACCAACAGACCGGACAUCUUGGAUCCUGCACUCAUGAGGCCUGGUAGAUUUGACAGGCAGAUAUACAUAGGCCCACCUGACAUCAAAGGCAGAGCGUCCAUCUUCAAAGUGCACUUACAGCCCAUUAAACUGGACCCUGCUAUGGCCUAAGACGGAUUGGCCAGGAAGAUGGCUGCCGCCACACCAGGCUUCACUGGAGCCGACAUGGUUAACGUGUGCAACGAAGCUGCCCUAAUCGCUGCUAGACACCUCAACCCACAUGUGGAAGGGAAAACACUUUGAGCAGGCCAUCGACAGGGUCGUCGGCGGUCUUGAGAAGAAGACCCAGGUGCUGCAGCCCAAUGAAAAGAAGACUGUAGCAUACCAUGAGGCUGGACAUGCAAUAGUGGGCUGGUUCUUGGAACAUGCUGACCCACUGCUGAAGGUGUCAAUCAUCCCCAGAGGGAAGGGGUUAGGGUAUGCCCACUACAUUCCCAAGGAGCAGUACCUGUACACGCGGGAGCAGCUGUGAGACAGGAUGUGUAUGAUGCUGGGAGGACGUGUGGCUGAACAGGUAUUCUUUGAGAAAAUCACCACAGGAGCUCAGGAUGACCUGAAGAAGGUCACCCAAUCAGCCUACGCACAGGUAGUGCAGUUCGGGAUGAGUGAGAAGGUAGGCCGUGUGUCGUUUGACCUGCCUCAGCAGGGGGAGAUGGCGACGGUUAAACCUUACAGCGAGGCCACGGCAGAGCUCAUAGACCAGGAGGUCCGAGACCUGGUGGACAGCGCCUACCAGAGGACCAUGGAGCUCAUUAUGGACAAGAGGGAGUGUGUGGACAUGGUGGGGAAGUAUCUCCUAGAGAAGGAGGUCCUGUACAAGGCGGAGCUGCUGGGGCCACGGCUGUUUAAGGAGAAGCUGACAUAUGAGGAGUUUGUGGAGGGGACUGGCAGUUUUGAAGAGGACACCAGCCUGCCAGAGGGCCUGAAGGACUGGAACCAGGAGAGUGAAUGGAGUUGAGGAGCCUGCCCCAGUUAAGGAGAAACGGGACCAAUAGGCAGGACAUCCAGUGACUGGCGGACCUCUUAACCUAAAACCUGUCUCAGCACAACACGCAUCACUUCAAUCAUGUAGCCUAGGCAGAAGGGAAGAUUUGGGUGGACUUGGCACAGUACAGUGUCCAGGGACCUAUUUAUCGGAGUUCAAAGCAAACUUUCAAGCCCAAAUUCAGAUCUUUCAUUGCCAUAUUUGGGGUAAGCCACAUUUUACUCAAAGGAAAAAUAUGCGUGACAGUGGACGCAUUGAGAUUUGCUAUUUUUUAGGACUUUGAUUUACUUCUCUCUCCCCACAUGUUUCAUAUGUUUGUCAUAAUUGAAUCAUGUACAGUCGGGUACAAAAUGAUUGGCACCCUUGAUGAAGAUGAGCAAAAAAUACUUUAUAAAAUAAAUACAUAGUGAGCUAUAUUUUUAUGGGACUUUUUUUAUAAUACAAUUGCUCCCAGAAGGAUAAUUGAUUUAACAAGUAAUACUUUCUGUUGCAAAAGAUGAUACUGUUGAAUAUCUCACCUUGCGAGGAUAAGGGCACUGAACCUUUUUUUCCUAAAAUGUUUUGAGAUUGGAGAACAUAUUUGGAGUGAUUUUAGACUCUUACUCCAUACUGAAUCUUCCCAGAUCCUUGAUAUUCUUUGUCUGCCCUUUAUGGACUGCCCUCAAUUCAAACCACAGAUUUUUGAAUGGGGUUCAAGUCCGGAUACUGAGUUGGCCAUGUCAAAAUGUUGAUUUUUGAAUGGGGUUCAAGUCCGGAUACUGAGUUGGCCAUGUCAAAAUGUGGAUUUUUGAAUGGGGUUCAAGUCCGGAUACUGAGUUGGCCAUGUCAAAAUGUGGAUUUUUGAAUGGGGUUCAAGUCCGGAUACUGAGUUGGCCAUGUCAAAAUGUGGAUUUUUGAAUGGGGUUCAAGUCCGGAUACUGAGUUGGCCAUGUCAAAAUGUUGCUUUUUGAAUGGGGUUCAAGUCCGGAUACUGAGUUGGCCAUGUCAAAAUGUUGCUUUUUGAAUGGGGUUCAAGUCCGGAUACUGAGUUGGCCAUGUCAAAAUGUUGAUUUUUGUGGCCAAUUAACCAUUUUCUUUUGUGGAAUUUGAUGUGUGCUUGGGGUUAUUGUCUUGCUGGAAGAUCCACUUGUGGCCAAAUUCAAGCCUCCUGGCAGAGGCAACCAGGUAUUUGGCUAAAAUGUCCUGGUACUGGGUGAAUUUCACUGCACCAUUGACCUUUAAUAUUUUACACAAGGUAUGGGGUUCAUUCUUUUGACACCAAAGCACCAUGGGUGAGCGUGGCCAAACAGCCUCAGUAUUUUUAUAUUUUCUCAUCUUUAUCAAGGGUGCCUAUAAUUUUGGACCUGACUGGACAUCUGCACCAUAAGACCAGAUUGUUUUGAUAUGUUCAGCUAUUUAUUUAAAAAGGGACUUCCUCCCUGUAAAAUGAAAUUCACAACUGUAUUUGUUUCCUUCCCUCAAAUGAAGGAAUCAUUUCUAAUCUUGUUCAUCUUUAUCUACCGAUGACAGAGUUACUGGUUAUGAAAGAUGCACUGCUUAGAGUAUUAAUAUCGUAGUUCAUCAAAAUGCCAGAAAUAUACUUCCUUCGAUAUGUGGAAAUGUGCCCUGCCGCCAUCUCUCAGGCAUGCAAUCGUAGGGUGUGAAAGCUUAAAGGGAUACUUCAGGAUUUUGGCAAUGAAACCCUUCAUUUAGUUUCCAGAGUCGGAUUAAUUGUCUGAUUGCAGUUUGAAGAAAGUUGCUAACUAGCAUUAGUGCAAUGCCUGGAAGUCUAUGGUAACUGCUAGCAUGCUAGUAGAUCCCAUAGACUUCCAGUCAUUGCACUAAUGCUAGUUAGCAUUGGCUCACGAAACUACCUCUAACUUCUUUCAUACUGGAUGCAGAGACAUAAAUGGUGUCCGUGAGUUCAUCAGACUCCGGCGACGAAGACAAAGGGCUUCAUUGUUCAAAAUCCCGAAGUAUCCCUUUGACCACAAAUUAUAACUGACUAUGCUCAGCGGGUUUGUUUUUAAGGAUGCUAUGCUGCUCCAGGAGAGUGCUGUUGAAAAAUGUACAGUAGCGCACAUCUCCUACAGAAUUAUAAACUAUUUGCUACCUCACUUCAAAGCGAUGUAUUAAACUCAAUUGCCUUCGUAUAGGUUUGUGAAAAUUUCCUGUGUCAGUACUACAAAUGUUUCCAUUGUAACUGAUCAGCACGGAAGAUUCCUAAUAGUUUAUAAUUAUUGUAUUGUAAAUAUGUUUGCAUAAAAUGUAUGUGUAGUUGCUGGUGGUUUUGGCUUGCUGUGAGAUGCUGUGUAUGAAGGCAAUGGGUAUACUACCAUGUAUAAAGCAUGUUUGUGUUUCCUCUGCUUACUGCCACCAACCAUCUGUUUGUAAUUUCAACUUUUAAUGUUAAUUUCAAUAAACUGUUCUCAUUUGA
Oncorhynchus kisutch (coho salmon) is the source of this 4705-nucleotide RNA transcript. It is a transcript of the gene named AFG3-like protein 1, with no coding region annotated. The record is from RefSeq and is a predicted model, not a curated record. NCBI's taxonomy places the organism in Eukaryota, Metazoa, Chordata, Actinopteri, Salmoniformes, Salmonidae. The transcript is spliced from 14 exons.